RNAcentral lists this transfer RNA (84 nucleotides) under Malassezia slooffiae. Its description in RNAcentral is "tRNA-Tyr". It matches the Rfam family "tRNA". Rfam says of the family: Transfer RNA (tRNA) molecules are approximately 80 nucleotides in length. Their secondary structure includes four short double-helical elements and three loops (D, anti-codon, and T loops). Lineage: Eukaryota; Fungi; Basidiomycota; Malasseziomycetes; Malasseziales; Malasseziaceae. The record is from RNAcentral.
UACAGAUAUUCCUUACUGGUAAAGGAGGUGCUCUGUAAAAGCAUUGGUUUUAUACCGUUGUGGGUUCGAGUCCCAUAUCUGUAC